AAGUUGGAAGCCAAUAAGGGUAAUUAGAGGAGCUGUAUAGCAAAAGCUAUUGGGCUAUUAAGCUCUAAAUUGGGGCAAAAGAGUGUGGUUGUGAAAGACGAAAUAGAAGGAUUCAAGAAGCUUUCAUUCCCACAAAACAAAUCGUUAGUGGUUAGAGAGGAAAUUAUUAUUCAUGGGUUGGGUCUUAGUUCUUUUUCAUUCAAGAAAGUGAUUGACUUCUUGGGUUCCAAAAGAUUCAUGGGAUUGUAUUUGAUUUGCAUGGGAAUGGAUUUUCUGUUAAGUCAGGAGUAGAGGUGUCUAAGGAGAGACGAAAUGGGAUUUUGGAGAGGAUAU
Molecule: unclassified non-coding RNA, 333 nt
Filed under: Hevea brasiliensis (rubber tree)
Lineage: Eukaryota; Viridiplantae; Streptophyta; Magnoliopsida; Malpighiales; Euphorbiaceae
Source: RNAcentral